This is a non-coding RNA of Nippostrongylus brasiliensis, 77 nucleotides long. The record is from Rfam. NCBI's taxonomy places the organism in Eukaryota, Metazoa, Nematoda, Chromadorea, Rhabditida, Heligmosomidae.
UGUCUGAUAAUCCUGAAUUUAUUUGCGAGCUGGACGACAUGAUGAUCUAGCACCAUGUAAAUUCAGCAUUUGAAUUC